CAAAAAGGAGUUAUGGGGGUUCUAAAUCUAAUUCAUUAUUGUAACACUUCUUCUAUAUCACAAACCUUGUUGUAUUGUUCUAAACCAGAAUUGGUGCCAUGGGUUGAUAUAGAAGACACUUAUCUGAAAAGGGGAAGGGUAUCCUGGUUCUUAUGGUCAACAUCCGAGCUACCUAAAUUUCUGGUUUUGUUACCGACUACUAGUUUUAAAACAUGAUUAAUUUGUGAAGAUACUUCAACCAAUCUUGCAAUAUCCUGAUUUAGAUAUUUCAGGCUGGCGAGACUGUGGGGAGAUUGGCUCACUAUUACAUAUCUGGUGGAAUUGCAAAAAAAUUUCUUGGGUAUGGGAAAAAUUAUAUGAUCUUAUUAAAUCUAAUCUUCAGGUUUGCAGUACCUUUU
Pelobates cultripes (western spadefoot toad) is the source of this 398-nucleotide non-coding RNA. Lineage: Eukaryota; Metazoa; Chordata; Amphibia; Anura; Pelobatidae. The record is from the annotation of a GenBank genome assembly.